GGAGUGUGUCCACGGAUUUGUGCUAUUAAUCCGGUCAAGUCCUGUUUCGAAGCACGUCUCGGACCUGGCGCAUCCAAUCUGGAUUGGAAGCAAGUUUACUUGCUCUUGAGACGCUCAGAAGAAAGACGACUGAGCAGUUCAGAUUUUGAGUGGUCUCAGGGGUGGUGGAGACCAAAGCUUCAGAGAUGCCUAAGGCCUUUAUUGGUGAGAGUGUUGGAAGGUGAUACUAAUAGCGCCCACUUAUUGUCUGCUGAUCACAUAUCUAGGUGUUUACUUAACGCUGCUUAAUCCUAAACAAUAUGAGACAGGAAUUAUCCUCGUUUGCUGUUUAACUAAGGAAGGUCAGUUCCCCUUCUUUACAGACCUGAACUGUAAAGAUCACUGUUUAAAACUUAUUCUGCUACAGGUUUUUUGUUUUUGUUUUUUAAAUAGUGUAGGGGCUUUGCAUGGAUACAUUAUUUUAUGAGGGUUAAAACUCUGUGAUAAGGAGUUUAAUACUCUAUGUUAGCAGUCCUGAAAUUGUGAUUUCUUGGGGUCCUCUUCAGUGGUUGACUCUAUAGAUGGUACUUAUAGGAUGAAAAAUCUGUAAAACGAUUGUUAAAGAAUUUGCUCCUUGACUCUGUUGACCCAUUACUCUGCUCUAGGGCAGAAAAAGAUUUUGCAUUCAUCCUCAGAGUAGACUUUCCUGUAUUGCAGCAGUAAGAUAAGGUGCAUGUAAGGGGAGGUACCAGGAAUAGCUGGGUGUGGGAAGACACGACCUGAAAUAGAGAAGGAAGGGAGGAGAAAAAAGAAACAGAAGGUCUGAGUUAAGGGGCCUUCUUGAUUUAUUCCAUGGAAACAGAAAUUUGUGUUUAUGUAGCCUUUUAUAGCCUUCCAGUAAUCCUAGAAGUAGAUGUGGGGUGUAUCAUUCCUAUUUUAUAGAGGAAGUAUACCCAAAGGGUCUAAGAAUCUUGCUCAAGGUGACCUACCUCUUAAAGGUUGAGCCAAGAUUUAGUCACAGGAUGUGCAACAGCAAGGCCAUUGAACUACUAAGCUACCACACUGCCUCUCUGUUCAAUAUUUGGGACCAAUAAAAUUGAUUUUCAGAGUUGGGAGGAGCCUUCGGUAAUAUGAACUGCUCUCAUGUCCUGGAGUGGAAAAUUUCCUGCCUCCCGAGACAUAUUUUUCCUUUGCAUUUUUUAGAAACCAUUUUCCUUGUAUUUGCCCAUCUUGCCCUCUCUUUCAUGAGUAGUUUCCCCCCUUUUUCCUCUUCUAAGUGACAUCCCUAAGUACGUACUAAUACACCGAACCACUCUAUCCCACUCCUCUCCUGCUUAUCCACCUAACUAUCCCAACCACAGAUUCUCAUCCUAAGCAAUAACCUAUUGCUUUCAUCUUCUGUUCACAGAUGUGAUUUAAAGUCUUUUUGCAUCUUCCCUGGUUGCUCUUAAUUGAAUUUGAACAUAUUUGUGUCAGUAUUUUUAAGAUUCUGAAACCAAACACAAGAGUCAGGGAGAGUAGGAGGAGGACUUGGCUCUUCUUUCCUUAGUCUUCUGUUAAAUUAGUUUGUUUCCAUCCCCUGCUCUUUUUUUAAGAGUUUGACAAUUUCAAGGCAGACCUUCAAGUUUCCUCCGUGUGGAUUUAUCUUUUUAUUCAAAACCAGAUUUGCAAUAGCUUUUCUGACAUUUUCAUGCAACAAACAUCAAAUUUAUAAUCCAGACUAUAUUAUACACCCUUAAAAUGUUUCACAACUUUUGAAAAUGCUUUUUACAGAUUUUUUGGACAACAGUAGCUUUCAUGAGUGUCCUUAAUUAGUAUCGAAGCAGGAGAGGCCCAGGAUUUUAGAAAGCCCACAGGCCAAACACUACUUAUUGAAGUCCCAUUGUUGCUAAAUUGAUCUUUCUAAUUAUAUCAGUGUCUAAAUCCAAAAUAAAUCCUUAAGAACUUUGUGCCACUCAAUAAUAUUUGAACUUAAAAUCCAAAAUUCAAAGUGCUCCAAAACCCAAAAUUUAUGUUAAUGUUUAAAAAGUAGUUUUUGGAGCAUUUUCAGAUUUUUAGAGUAGGGAUGCUUAAUUGAUAAACUCUAUAUAGAUAUUUCCACCUCCCCCACAAUCCAAAAUCUGAAACACUCUAUUAAACUAGUUUGUUUCCAUCCCCUGCUCUUUUUUUAAGAGUUUGACAAUUUCAAGGCAAACCUUCAAGCUUCCUCCGUCUGGAUUUAUCUUUUAAAUCCAGCAUAUUAGACAAAGGAUACUUAACUUGUAUUGUUAAAGCAUGGUAAUAAAGACUUUAUUCGGGACCAUUGCAGUGGGUUCUAGAAGUGGAGAGAGAAGUUGAGCAAGUGGGGAUUUAUAAAAAAGGAGCAGAAUAGGGG
This 2353-nucleotide long non-coding RNA is filed under the name Marmota monax (woodchuck). Lineage: Eukaryota; Metazoa; Chordata; Mammalia; Rodentia; Sciuridae. The record is from RNAcentral.